GCCCAGACUCCUACGGGAGGCAGCAGUGAGGAAUAUUGGUCAAUGGCCGAGAGGCUGAACCAGCCAAGUCGCGUGAGGGAAGAAUGUCCUAUGGAUUGUAAACCUCUUUUGUCAGGGAGCAAAGUCACCCACGUGUGGGUGUUGGAGAGUACCUGAAGAAAAAGCAUCGGCUAACUCCGUGCCAGCAGCCGCGGUAAUACGGAGGAUCCAAGCGUUAUCUGGAUUUAUUGGGUUUAAAGGGUGCGUAGGCGGAUUGAUAAGUUAGAGGUGAAAUGUCCGAGCUCAACUCGGGAACUGCCUCUAAUACUGUUGAUCUAGAGAGUAGAUGCGGUAGGCGGAAUGUAUGGUGUAGCGGUGAAAUGCUUAGAGAUCAUACAGAACACCGAUUGCGAAGGCAGCUUACCAAUCUAUAUCUGACGUUGAGGCACGAAAGCGUGGGGAGCAAACAGGAUUAGAUACCCGUGUAA
This 467-nucleotide ribosomal RNA is filed under the name uncultured bacterium. RNAcentral's name for it is "bacterial SSU rRNA". It matches the Rfam family "Bacterial small subunit ribosomal RNA", at positions 329 to 793 of the family's 1533-position model. The record is from RNAcentral.